AAAUACAAAUAUAAAUGACUCGUAUAUUUAGCGGUAAUAUGGUCCGCAAGUUUCUACCUACUAACCAUAAAUUAGUAGACUACGAGGUAUAGUUUAAUU
Molecule: non-coding RNA, 99 nt
Filed under: uncultured Romboutsia sp.
Lineage: Bacteria; Bacillati; Bacillota; Clostridia; Peptostreptococcales; Peptostreptococcaceae
Description: Purine riboswitch
Rfam family: Purine riboswitch aptamer
About the family: Riboswitches are metabolite binding domains within certain messenger RNAs that serve as precision sensors for their corresponding targets. Allosteric rearrangement of mRNA structure is mediated by ligand binding, and this results in modulation of gene expression. A class of riboswitches that selectively recognises guanine and becomes saturated at concentrations as low as 5 nM.
Source: RNAcentral